RNAcentral lists this transfer-messenger RNA (386 nucleotides) under Bacteroidales bacterium. It matches the Rfam family "transfer-messenger RNA". Rfam says of the family: Bacterial tmRNA, also known as 10Sa RNA or SsrA, is named for its dual tRNA and mRNA-like properties. Its role is to liberate the mRNA from a stalled ribosome. The record is from RNAcentral. Lineage: Bacteria; Pseudomonadati; Bacteroidota; Bacteroidia; Bacteroidales.
GGGGCUGAAAUGGUAUUGACAGCAAGUGAAUGGAAUUGUAAGCAUGCCGAGCCAUGAGAAUACGCUCGUAAAAAAGGUUCUUGAGCCAAUAACUGGCAACGAAAAUUUCGCUCUCGCCGCAUAAUAAAACGCGGAUUUUCCAAUCCUCAAGGAGGAUAUGGACGAGCACUUCGCGGAAGCCCCUUCCCUGUGGCGUCCGGCUACGAAGUGUCGUGUAACGGGGAUAGCCUUAAUAAGUCUUCGGUAUUAGGGCGAAGCUAAGAAGAUAAGGAGUAAGUAGGUUGCUUUAGGCCAGCUUAUUCCCGACAAAUAAUCAAAAGCUAAGCAUGUAGAAAGCAGUUUGGUUCCUUGUUUGGACCCGGGUUCGACUCCCGGCAGCUCCACUC